RNAcentral lists this ribosomal RNA (253 nucleotides) under uncultured bacterium. Its description in RNAcentral is "partial 16S ribosomal RNA". It matches the Rfam family "Bacterial small subunit ribosomal RNA", at positions 524 to 776 of the family's 1533-position model. The record is from RNAcentral.
UACAGAGGUCCCAAGCGUUGUCCGGAAUCACUGGGCGUAAAGCGCGCGCAGGCGGCUAUCUACGUCCGGGGUGAAAGCCCAGAGCUCAACUCUGGGAUUGCCUUGGAUACGGGAUGGCUUGAGGAUCGGAGAGGCAAGGGGAAUUCCACGUGUAGCGGUGAAAUGCGUAGAGAUGUGGAGGAACACCUGUGGCGAAGGCGGCCCCCUGGUUGGAUACUGACGCUGAGACGCGAAAGCGUGGGGAGCAAACAGG